RNAcentral lists this ribosomal RNA (430 nucleotides) under Pseudomonadota bacterium. RNAcentral's name for it is "Proteobacteria bacterium partial 16S ribosomal RNA". It matches the Rfam family "Bacterial small subunit ribosomal RNA", at positions 355 to 776 of the family's 1533-position model. Lineage: Bacteria; Pseudomonadati; Pseudomonadota. The record is from RNAcentral.
UGGGGAAUAUUGGACAAUGGGCGAAAGCCUGAUCCAGCCAUGCCGCGUGUGUGAAGAAGGCCUUUUGGUUGUAAAGCACUUUAAGCGAGGAGGAGGCUACUAGUACUAAUACUACUGGAUAGUGGACGUUACUCGCAGAAUAAGCACCGGCUAACUCUGUGCCAGCAGCCGCGGUAAUACAGAGGGUGCGAGCGUUAAUCGGAUUUACUGGGCGUAAAGCGUGCGUAGGCGGCUGAUUAAGUCGGAUGUGAAAUCCCUGAGCUUAACUUAGGAAUUGCAUUCGAUACUGGUCAGCUAGAGUAUGGGAGAGGAUGGUAGAAUUCCAGGUGUAGCGGAGAAAUGCGUAGAGAUCUGGAGGAAUACCGAUGGCGAAGGCAGCCAUCUGGCCUAAUACUGACGCUGAGGUACGAAAGCAUGGGGAGCAAACAGG